GAUGAACGCUGGCGGCGUGCCUAAUACAUGCAAGUAGAACGCUGAAGGAAGGAGCUUGCUCUUUCCGGAUGAGUUGCGAACGGGUGAGUAACGCGUAGGUAACCUGCCUGGUAGCGGGGGAUAACUAUUGGAAACGAUAGCUAAUACCGCAUAACAGUAGAUGUUGCAUGACUACUAUUUGAAAGGGGCAAUUGCUCCACUACCAGAUGGACCUGCGUUGUAUUAGCUAGUUGGUGAGGUAACGGCUCACCAAGGCGACGAUACAUAGCCGACCUGAGAGGGUGAUCGGCCACGCUGGGACUGAGACACGGCCCAGACUCCUACGGGAGGCAGCAGUAGGGAAUCUUCGGCAAUGGACGGAAGUCUGACCGAGCAACGCCGCGUGAGUGAAGAAGGGUGUCGGAUCGUAAAGCUCUGUUGUAAGAGAAGAACGAGUGUGAGAGUGGAAAGUUCACACUGUGACGGUAUCUUACCAGAAAGGGACGGCUAACUACGUG
RNAcentral lists this ribosomal RNA (497 nucleotides) under uncultured bacterium. RNAcentral's name for it is "partial 16S ribosomal RNA". It matches the Rfam family "Bacterial small subunit ribosomal RNA", at positions 28 to 507 of the family's 1533-position model. The record is from RNAcentral.